UCCUACCUACAAGCUCCCAAAGUCUAGAACUUAAAAGGUUUGAUCGUGUUCCAGAAAGUAUCAAACUUCCAAAGUCUCUACUUCUCUAAAGCACUAUUUUAAGUAUGGGUUUGUUGAAAUUCAAGCACUCCCUUCAUUCACGAACAAUUCCACACACAUAGGGUUCAAAGUUCAAACUAGCUAACAAACUGCAAGGUACAUAAAGCAGCCAAUAAACACACUAAAAGUUCUCCCAGGUCAGACACAAUACAUGUAAAAUAACAUUAUUAAAACUGAAAAUAAGAUUAAGGACUACAGUACUAACUAACAAACUCCCAUGAUUGUGGCUUAUACAGGUAACAGCUUCAAUAAUGCUCCAAAGGCUUCCACGGACCAGCCCCAAAGACUUCCAUCUUUUUGUCCAUGGUUAGAUCACCAUAACCAUUAAAAAACGGGACACAAAUAUCAGAAGUUCAGAACCUCAUAUGCGCUUGAUGGUUUAUGUUUUCAAAUCAUUUGAAAAUGAAGAAUUAAAACAAUGGCUUAUGCUUUCAAAUCAUUCAAAAAAAGUGAGUUUAUGUUGCAAGUUUCAUUCAAGGUCUUCACUGUGUUUAGCAAGUUUAAAAACACUUAAGCAUAUACAAAUCUGAACAAAUUUAAAAAUAAACUCAACAAAAGCUAAGUUCUCUCAAACAUUUAUAUGAACACCUAUGCUAUAAAAUAAACUCAAAUAAAUUCUACCUAAUUCAACCUCAACUUAUGGGCAGCAAGGGAAGCCAGCAUAAACAAACUUAUGACUGCGACACGACUCAUCUAACACACCCUAACUACUUCCUGGUAAAAUCCAGUGGUAGAGUUGGUUAAAAAUGCAAAAGAAUCAUUAAGAAUAAUUUGCCAAGGGGGAGGAGAAAACAAAGAUCCUGUGGAUGUUCUCACUUCUCAAUGCACAUGUUUCAUCAAAACAAUGUGAAGCCUACCAAAGUACCAAUAAGCAGGCGGAGAUGAAGCCUGAAAACACUUUCAUCAAAUCUUAUACACACAUAUAUACACCAAUCUUAUGCAGUUCUUACUUCUUAGGGUACCUUUCUACAAUUUCAUUGCCAAAAUAAAAUUUGGUUCAGUAAACCAGUAAAUACAAAGUAGUAAAGAAAAGAUUUUGCCCAAUGAUACUAUGCCAAAUUUUAAUCAUAUUGAAAAUGUAGUGCUUGGCAAGGAAUACAACCAUAAAACUUAUCCAAGAAAAACAGGUGCAAGAGGAGCUUUCCAAGAGAGCAAAAGAAGAUAGGAAGUAAAAUAUCAGCCAUAAAAGUGAGAGUGGAACUUGGAACCUAAUUGACUCAAGCUAAUGAAAUCCAAAUAGGUGACAAUUAAUUGGCAAGUUAUUAUUAAGACUAAAAGGCAGACACAUACAUAUCUUUCGUGUCCGAAACAAAACUAAAACUGUCACUAACAUUUAUGUACACAUUUCCAUUAACUAAAACACUUCCUGUUUCUUUUUUUGGGUUUAAUAUACAUGUGAAUUGUGAUAUGAUUCUUAAUUUGAUUCUUUCCAAAUCCUCAUUCACUGUUUUGAGAGAUUACCUCUGCAACCCUAAAGAUAGAAAGGGCAUGCAGUUCUCUCAACAGCUUUCUGAUCUGCUAUUUUUAAUUUCAUUUCAGCAUUUUGUAUCCUUUAAAAGACUGACUAGCAUGCAUCUACCCAGUAAACCCCACCUGAACCUCAACCACAACCUUUCCUGCAAUCUCCACAGACUAUCUAUCCUACCUUAAAAGGUUUGAUCAUGUUCCAGAAAGUAUCAAACUUCCAAAGUCUCUACUUCUCUAAAGCACUACUUUAAGUAUGGGUUUGUUGAAAUUCAAGCACUCCCUUCAUUCACGAACAAUUCCACACACAUAGGGUUCAAACUAACAAACUGAAAGGUGCAUAAAGCAGCCAAUAAACACACUAAAGUUCUCCCAGGUCAGACACAAUACAUGUAAAAUAACAUUAAAACUGAAAAUAAGAUUAAGGACUACAGUACUAACUAACAAACUCCCAUGAUUGUGGCUUAUACAGGUAACAGCUUCAAUAAUGCUCCAAAGGCUUCCACGGACCAGCCCCAAAGACUUCCAUCUUUUCGUCCAUGGUUAGAUCACCAAAACCAUUGGUGCCUAAGCUUCGAUAUAGUGGGUCAGCAUGCUUCUGGUUUUCGCGGACGCACAAUUCAUGA
Molecule: long non-coding RNA, 2189 nt
Filed under: Lotus japonicus
Lineage: Eukaryota; Viridiplantae; Streptophyta; Magnoliopsida; Fabales; Fabaceae
Description: long non-coding RNA (LJAP_LNC001097)
Source: RNAcentral